RNAcentral lists this long non-coding RNA (431 nucleotides) under Lathyrus oleraceus (garden pea). Its description in RNAcentral is "Pisum sativum (pea) long non-coding RNA (PSAT_LNC004343)". Lineage: Eukaryota; Viridiplantae; Streptophyta; Magnoliopsida; Fabales; Fabaceae. The record is from RNAcentral.
GUGGUGGAGAACCGCCGGAGGCGCGGUUGGUUGUUUUGACGGAAGUGAAAAUGAGGUGUUAGUGUGGUGAAAGGGUGGAAGAUGAUGGAGUAUUUGAAGAAGAAGAAUGGUAAUGGUUAAGGGUGAGGCGCUCAGGGAAAGACCCAGAGGCUUCUUCUCUUUUUCCGUUUUUAAUCCUUUUCUUUAUUUUUUUUGAGAGAGAGAGUAAGUUAGUGUCUGUUGGUCCCCUUUGUGAAGUGAGCAGAGAGAGUAAAAUAUAACAAUCUCCAACGGACAAAACCUUAUUCUUUUCUUUUUUUAUUUUCGCUGGGAGAGACUGAUGGAGUGGGUAGGUGGUGAUGGAAAUGAGGGUAACGUGUGAGAGAGAGUAUUGUGGAAGAGAGGAAACGUGAGGUGUCUUAAUUUUAUUUUAUUUUUCUUUUUUAUUAAUA